RNAcentral lists this ribosomal RNA (253 nucleotides) under uncultured bacterium. RNAcentral's name for it is "partial 16S ribosomal RNA". It matches the Rfam family "Bacterial small subunit ribosomal RNA", at positions 524 to 776 of the family's 1533-position model. The record is from RNAcentral.
UACAGAGGUCUCAAGCGUUGUCCGGAAUUAUUGGGCGUAAAGAGCUUGUAGGCGGUUUGUCGCGUCUGCCGUGAAAAUUCGAGGCUCAACCUCGAACUUGCGGUGGGUACGGGCAGACUAGAGUGUGGUAGGGGAGACUGGAAUUCCUGGUGUAGCGGUGAAAUGCGCAGAUAUCAGGAGGAACACCGAUGGCGAAGGCAGGUCUCUGGGCCACUACUGACGCUGAGAAGCGAAAGCAUGGGGAGCGAACAGG